This 328-nucleotide ribosomal RNA is filed under the name Adelotettix gigas. RNAcentral's name for it is "partial 12S ribosomal RNA". Lineage: Eukaryota; Metazoa; Arthropoda; Insecta; Orthoptera; Acrididae. The record is from RNAcentral.
AAUAUUAGUUAAGAACUUAAAACCCAAAGAAUUUGGCGGUAUUUUAUUCUGUUCAGAGGAACCUAUCCCGUAAUUGAUAUUACACGAUUAGCUUUACUUAAUUUAUUUGUUUGUAUAUCACCGUUAUCAGAAGAUCUUUUUAGAGUUAAAAUUUUCUUGUAUUAUAAUUAUAUUAUAUUUCAGGUCAAGGUGCAGCUUAUAAUUAAGAGGAGGUGGGUUACAAUAAAUUGUAUUUAUUAAUGAAUUUAUUAAUGAAUAUUAAUAAUGAAGGUGGGUUUGAUAGUAAUUUAAUUUAUUUAAUUUAAUUGAUAUUAGCUCUAAAUUGUGU